Molecule: ribosomal RNA, 396 nt
Filed under: uncultured bacterium
Lineage: Bacteria
Description: partial 16S ribosomal RNA
Rfam family: Bacterial small subunit ribosomal RNA
Source: RNAcentral
AUACGUAGGUGGCGAGCGUUGUCCGGAAUUAUUGGGCGUAAAGAGCAUGUAGGCGGCUUAAUAAGUCGAGCGUGAAAAUGCGGGGCUCAACCCCGUAUGGCGCUGGAAACUGUUAGGCUUGAGUGCAGGAGAGGAAAGGGGAAUUCCCAGUGUAGCGGUGAAAUGCGUAGAUAUUGGGAGGAACACCAGUGGCGAAGGCGCCUUUCUGGACUGUGUCUGACGCUGAGAUGCGAAAGCCAGGGUAGCGAACGGGAUUAGAUACCCCGGUAGUCCUGGCCGUAAACGAUGGGUACUAGGUGUAGGAGGUAUCGACUCCUUCCGUGCCGGAGUUAACGCAAUAAGUACCCCGCCUGGGGAGUACGGCCGCAAGGCUUAAACUCAAAUGAAUUGACGGGG